Molecule: transfer RNA, 83 nt
Filed under: Perca flavescens (yellow perch)
Lineage: Eukaryota; Metazoa; Chordata; Actinopteri; Perciformes; Percidae
Rfam family: tRNA
About the family: Transfer RNA (tRNA) molecules are approximately 80 nucleotides in length. Their secondary structure includes four short double-helical elements and three loops (D, anti-codon, and T loops).
Source: Rfam by way of RNAcentral
GCCCGGCUAGCUCAGUCGGUAGAGCAUGAGAAAUGGUACUCUUAAUCUCAGGGUGGUCGUGGGUUCGAGCCCCACGUUGGGCG